GGGCCCUACGGGAGGCAGCAGUGGGGGAUAUUGCACAAUGGGGGAAACCCUGAUGCAGCGACGCCGCGUGGGCGAAGAAGUAUUUCGGUAUGUAAAGCCCUAUCAGCAGGGAAGAAGAAAUGACGGUACCUGAGUAAGAAGCACCGGCUAAAUACGUGCCAGCAGCCGCGGUAAUACGUAUGGUGCAAGCGUUAUCCGGAUUUACUGGGUGUAAAGGGAGCGCAGGCGGCAUGUCAAGUCAAGGGUGAAAUCCCCGCGCUCAACGUGGGAACUGCCUUUGAAACUGGCAAACUGGAGUGUGUGAG
This 305-nucleotide ribosomal RNA is filed under the name uncultured bacterium. Its description in RNAcentral is "bacterial SSU rRNA". It matches the Rfam family "Bacterial small subunit ribosomal RNA", at positions 333 to 654 of the family's 1533-position model. The record is from RNAcentral.